AGAACGGGUAUCGAAAACCCUUUUUACGAAGAUGGCGCCGAAAGCUAAGAAGGAAGCCCCUGCCCCUCCCAAAGCCGAAGACAAAGCAAAGGCUUUGAAGGCAAAGACAGAAGUGUGGAAAGGGGUCCACAGCCACAAAA
Molecule: long non-coding RNA, 140 nt
Organism: Myotis davidii
Lineage: Eukaryota; Metazoa; Chordata; Mammalia; Chiroptera; Vespertilionidae
Exons: 3
Source: RefSeq, a predicted model, not a curated record